This 471-nucleotide ribosomal RNA is filed under the name uncultured bacterium. Its description in RNAcentral is "partial 16S ribosomal RNA". It matches the Rfam family "Bacterial small subunit ribosomal RNA", at positions 28 to 507 of the family's 1533-position model. The record is from RNAcentral.
GACGAACGCUGGCGGCGUGCUUAACACAUGCAAGUCGAACGCUGAAGCUUGGUGCUUGCACUGGGUGGAUGAGUGGCGAACGGGUGAGUAAUACGUGAGUAACCUGCCCUUGACUCUGGGAUAAGCCUGGGAAACUGGGUCUAAUACUGGAUACGACAUGUCACCGCAUGGUGGUGUGUGGAAAGGGUUUUACUGGUUUUGGAUGGGCUCACGGCCUAUCAGCUUGUUGGUGGGUAAUGGCUCACCAAGGCGACGACGGGUAGCCGGCCUGAGAGGGUGACCGGCCACACUGGGACUGAGACACGGCCCAGACUCCUACGGGAGGCAGCAGUGGGGAAUAUUGCACAAUGGGCGGAAGCCUGAUGCAGCGACGCCGCGUGAGGGAUGACGGCCUUCGGGUUGUAAACCUCUUUCAGCACGGAAGAAGCGAAAGUGACGGUACGUGCAGAAGAAGCGCCGGCUAACUACGUG